CAAUUGAUUGAUGGUGCUUGCACCUGAUUGAUUUUGGUCGCCAACGAGUGGCGGACGGGUGAGUAACACGUAGGUAACCUGCCCAGAAGCGGGGGACAACAUUUGGAAACAGAUGCUAAUACCGCAUAACAGCGUUGUUCGCAUGAACAACGCUUAAAAGAUGGCUUCUCGCUAUCACUUCUGGAUGGACCUGCGGUGCAUUAGCUUGUUGGUGGGGUAACGGCCUACCAAGGCGAUGAUGCAUAGCCGAGUUGAGAGACUGAUCGGCCACAAUGGGACUGAGACACGGCCCAUACUCCUACGGGAGGCAGCAGUAGGGAAUCUUCCACAAUGGGCGCAAGCCUGAUGGAGCAACACCGCGUGAGUGAAGAAGGGUUUCGGCUCGUAAAGCUCUGUUGUUAAAGAAGAACACGUAUGAGAGUAACUGUUCAUACGUUGACGGUAUUUAACCAGAAAGUCACGGCUAACUACGUGCCAGCAGCCGCGGUAAUACGUAGGUGGCAAGCGUUAUCCGGAUUUAUUGGGCGUAAAGAGAGUGCAGGCGGUUUUCUAAGUCUGAUGUGAAAGCCUUCGGCUUAACCGGAGAAGUGCAUCGGAAACUGGAUAACUUGAGUGCAGAAGAGGGUAGUGGAACUCCAUGUGUAGCGGUGGAAUGCGUAGAUAUAUGGAAGAACACCAGUGGCGAAGGCGGCUACCUGGUCUGCAACUGACGCUGAGACUCGAAAGCAUGGGUAGCGAACAGGAUUAGAUACCCUGGUAGUCCAUGCCGUAAACGAUGAGUGCUAGGUGUUGGAGGGUUUCCGCCCUUCAGUGCCGGAGCUAACGCAUUAAGCACUCCGCCUGGGGAGUACGACCGCAAGGUUGAAACUCAAAGGAAUUGACGGGGGCCCGCACAAGCGGUGGAGCAUGUGGUUUAAUUCGAAGCUACGCGAAGAACCUUACCAGGUCUUGACAUCUUGCGCCAACCCUAGAGAUAGGGCGUUUCCUUCGGGAACGCAAUGACAGGUGGUGCAUGGUCGUCGUCAGCUCGUGUCGUGAGAUGUUGGGUUAAGUCCCGCAACGAGCGCAACCCUUGUUACUAGUUGCCAGCAUUAAGUUGGGCACUCUAGUGAGACUGCCGGUGACAAACCGGAGGAAGGUGGGGACGACGUCAGAUCAUCAUGCCCCUUAUGACCUGGGCUACACACGUGCUACAAUGGACGGUACAACGAGUCGCGAACUCGCGAGGGCAAGCAAAUCUCUUAAAACCGUUCUCAGUUCGGACUGCAGGCUGCAACUCGCCUGCACGAAGUCGGAAUCGCUAGUAAUCGCGGAUCAGCAUGCCGCGGUGAAUACGUUCCCGGGCCUUGUACACACCGCCCGUCACACCAUGAGAGUUUGUAACACCCAAAGUCGGUGGGGUAACCUUUAGGAGCCAGCCGCCUAAGGGGGAGCC
Molecule: ribosomal RNA, 1435 nt
Filed under: Limosilactobacillus fermentum
Lineage: Bacteria; Bacillati; Bacillota; Bacilli; Lactobacillales; Lactobacillaceae
Description: bacterial SSU rRNA
Rfam family: Bacterial small subunit ribosomal RNA
Source: RNAcentral